Long non-coding RNA from Acyrthosiphon pisum (pea aphid), 611 nucleotides. RefSeq lists it as uncharacterized. The record is from RefSeq and is a predicted model, not a curated record. NCBI's taxonomy places the organism in Eukaryota, Metazoa, Arthropoda, Insecta, Hemiptera, Aphididae. The transcript is spliced from 4 exons.
UAGAGGAAAUAGCGGAUGACAUAUCAGUCAGAUACAAAAACUUUUUGAUAGAUACGAAUCCGGUUCGUAGAUUCUGUAUUUACAGAAUGAAAGAAAACUACAAAUUUUUGAAAAACAUUUUAAAUUAAUAAUUUAACGUUUCAAUAUUUUAUCUAUGUUUUUGGUAACUAACAACAUGGAUGUACAUUGUACCUACCUAUUGAACCAUUUCAGCUACCAAGAAUUCUCCAUUUUACAUGCCCAAACAUUUUUAAUUUUAAUUAUAUAUUAUAAAGAUUACUAAUGAAUUUCCCUUACAUGAUUUACAAAAACAAAAUGCACUUAUGAUGUGGGAAUGCUUUAUUUUUUUUUGCUUUCAGUCCUAAAAGAAACAUUUAUUAUAGUAAACUACAUACAUUUUCUAUCCACACAAAUAUAUUGUAACACGAUUUACCUCUUUCCCUUUUAUCAUUACUAUUGCUAUUAUUAUUACUAUUUUUAAAUAUUAUUUUUCCUCCAUUAUACAAAUUUAUAUAAUAUGUGCAUAUUGAUUAGUAUGCUGUGUCAUACAAAAACCUAUGUAAUGUGUGCAGUUCGCUUUGAAUUAAUAAAGUAGUUAUACGUAUAAAAAA